CGGAGCGUAGUAUACCGGCAGUAUGCGUGUUUUGGGUACACGAGGACCGGGUUCGAUUCCCGGCGCUCCGA
This 71-nucleotide transfer RNA is filed under the name bacterium. Its description in RNAcentral is "tRNA-Pro". It matches the Rfam family "tRNA". Rfam says of the family: Transfer RNA (tRNA) molecules are approximately 80 nucleotides in length. Their secondary structure includes four short double-helical elements and three loops (D, anti-codon, and T loops). Further hydrogen bonds mediate the characteristic L-shaped molecular structure. tRNAs have two regions of fundamental functional importance: the anti-codon, which is responsible for specific mRNA codon recognition, and the 3' end, to which the tRNAs corresponding amino acid is attached (by aminoacyl-tRNA synthetases). tRNAs cope with the degeneracy of the genetic code in two manners: having more than one tRNA (with a specific anti-codon) for a particular amino acid; and 'wobble' base-pairing, i.e. permitting non-standard base-pairing at the 3rd anti-codon position. The record is from RNAcentral.